This 866-nucleotide long non-coding RNA is filed under the name Glycine max (soybean). Its description in RNAcentral is "long non-coding RNA (GMAX_LNC003149)". The record is from RNAcentral. Lineage: Eukaryota; Viridiplantae; Streptophyta; Magnoliopsida; Fabales; Fabaceae.
AGAAGUGCCAACACUUCCCAAACCUCAUGAGUUGCCACCAUUGCCGGAAAUCCCUGAAUUGCCCAAGUUUGAGUCGCCUAAGAUCCCUGCACUCCCGAAACCUGAGCUACCUAAGGUCCCUGAACUGUCUAAGCCUGACAUGUCUAAAGUUCCUGAGUUGCCUAAAGUCCCAGAAAGGCUUAAAGUACCCGAGAUAUCUAAGAUCCUUGAAUUGUCUAAGCCCGAGUUGCCUAAAGGACCAGAAUUACUUAAGCCUGAGUUACCUAGUGUACCUAAUAUCCCUAAGGUUCCUGAAUUGCCUAAACCAGAGUUGCCUGAAGUCCCAAAGUUGCCUAAGCCUGAGUUGCCAAAAGUACCAGAAUUGCCUAAACCUGAGUUACCUAAAGUACCUGAGAUCCCUGAAUUGCCUAAUCUCGAGUUGCCUAAAGUAACACAAUUGCCUAAGUCUAAGUUACCAAAAGUACCUGAGAUCCCUAAGGUCCCUGAAUUUCCUAAGCCCGAGUUGCCUAAAGUUCCUGAAUUGUCUAAGCCAGAGUUACCAAAAGCACCUGAGAUUCCUAAGGUCCCUGAAUUUCCUAAGCCCGAGUUGCCUAAAGUUCCUGAAUUGUCUAAGCCAGAGUUACCAAAAGCACCUGAGAUCCCUAAGGUCCCUGAAUUUCCUAAGCCCGAGUUGCCUAAAGUUCCUGAAUUGCCUAAGCCAGAGUUACCAAAAAUACCUGAAAUCCCUAAGGUCCCUGAAUUUCCUAAGCCAGAGUUGCCUAAAGUUCCUGAAGUGCCUAAGCCAGAGUUGUCAAAAGUACCAAAGCUACCUAAGUCUGAGUUACCUAAAGUACCUGAGAUUCCUGAAUUGCCUAAGUCCGAGUUGC